UACGCAGGAGGCAAGCGUUAUCCGGAAUUAUUGGGCGUAAAGCGUCCGCAGGUGGCAGUUCAAGUCUGCUGUCAAAGACCGGGGCUUAACUUCGGAAAGGCAGUGGAAACUGAACAGCUAGAGUAUGGUAGGGGCAGAGGGAAUUCCUGGUGUAGCGGUGAAAUGCGUAGAGAUCAGGAAGAACAUCGGUGGCGAAGGCGCUCUGCUGGACCAUAACUGACACUCAGGGACGAAAGCUAGGGGAGCGAAUGGG
RNAcentral lists this ribosomal RNA (253 nucleotides) under uncultured bacterium. RNAcentral describes it as "partial 16S ribosomal RNA". It matches the Rfam family "Bacterial small subunit ribosomal RNA", at positions 524 to 776 of the family's 1533-position model. The record is from RNAcentral.